GCAUGUGGUUUUACUUCGAAGCUAACGCGCAGGACCUUACCAGCCUUGGACAUCCCGGUCGCGGAUUAGAGAGAUCUUUUCCUUCAGUUCGGCUGGACCGGUGACAGGUGCUGCAUGGCUGUCGUCAGCUCGUGUCGUGAGACUGUUGGGUGUAAGUCCCGCGAACGAGCGCGACCCUCGUCCUUAGUUGCCAUCAUUCAGUUGGGCACUUUAAGUGAAACUGCCGGUGAUAAGCCGGAGGACAGGUGGGGAUGACGUCAAGUCCUCAUGGCCCUUACAGGCUGGGCUACACACGUGCUACAAUGGCGGUGACAGUGAGCAGCUACACUCGCGAGAGUACGCUAAUCUCCUAAAAGCCGUCUCUAGUUCGGAUUGUUCUCUGCAACUCGAGAGCAUGAAGGCGAAAUCGCCUAAGUU
RNAcentral lists this ribosomal RNA (417 nucleotides) under uncultured bacterium. RNAcentral's name for it is "bacterial SSU rRNA". It matches the Rfam family "Bacterial small subunit ribosomal RNA", at positions 937 to 1335 of the family's 1533-position model. The record is from RNAcentral.